Molecule: non-coding RNA, 162 nt
Organism: Xyrichtys novacula (pearly razorfish)
Lineage: Eukaryota; Metazoa; Chordata; Actinopteri; Labriformes; Labridae
Source: the annotation of a GenBank genome assembly
AACCAGGUAAUGUCUCAGGUUAUAACCAGGUUAUAACCUGUUUAUAACCAGGUUAUGUCUCAGGUUUUUACUUGGUAAUAACCAGGUAAUGUCUCAGGUUAUAAUAUAACCUGAGACAUUACCUGGUUAUAACCUGGUCAUAUCCUGAGACAUUACCUGGUU